UACGUAGGGCGCAAGCGUUGUCCGGAAUUAUUGGGCGUAAAGAGCUCGUAGGCGGCCUGUUGCGUCCGCUGUGAAAUCCCGGGGCUCAACCCCGGGCCUGCAGUGGAUACGGGCUGGCUAGAGGCAGGCAGGGGAGAACGGAAUUCCCGGUGUAGUGGUGAAAUGCGUAGAUAUCGGGAGGAACACCAGUGGCGAAGGCGACUUCUUGGCCUGUUCUUGACGCUGAGGCGCGAAAGCUGGGGGAGCAAACGGG
Molecule: ribosomal RNA, 253 nt
Filed under: uncultured bacterium
Lineage: Bacteria
Description: partial 16S ribosomal RNA
Rfam family: Bacterial small subunit ribosomal RNA
Source: RNAcentral